This 507-nucleotide ribosomal RNA is filed under the name uncultured bacterium. RNAcentral's name for it is "bacterial SSU rRNA". It matches the Rfam family "Bacterial small subunit ribosomal RNA", at positions 975 to 1482 of the family's 1533-position model. The record is from RNAcentral.
CUGGUCUUGACAUCCACAGAACUUUCCAGAGAUGGAUUGGUGCCUUCGGGGACUGUGAGACAGGUGCUGCAUGGCUGUCGUCAGCUCGUGUUGUGAAAUGUUGGGUUAAGUCCCGCAACGAGCGCAACCCUUAUCUUUUGUUGCCAGCGGUCCGGCCGGGAACUCAAAGGAGACUGCCAGUGAUAAACUGGAGGAAGGUGGGGAUGACGUCAAGUCAUCAUGGCCCUUACGACCAGGGCUACACACGUGCUACAAUGGCGCAUACAAAGAGAAGCGACCUCGCGAGAGCAAGCGGACCUCAUAAAGUGCGUCGUAGUCCGGAUUGGAGUCUGCAACUCGACUCCAUGAAGUNGGAAUCGCUAGUAAUCGUGGAUCAGAAUNCCACGGUGAAUACGUUCCCGGGCCUUGNACACNCCGCCCGUCACACCAUGGGAGUGGGUUGCAAAAGAAGUAGGUAGCUUAACCUUCGGGAGGGCGCNUACCCCUUUGUGAUUCAUGACUGGGGUG